RNAcentral lists this ribosomal RNA (447 nucleotides) under uncultured bacterium. Its description in RNAcentral is "partial 16S ribosomal RNA". It matches the Rfam family "Bacterial small subunit ribosomal RNA", at positions 29 to 523 of the family's 1533-position model. The record is from RNAcentral.
AACGAACGCUGGCGGCAGGCCUAAUACAUGCAAGUCGAACGCCCCUUCGGGGGAGUGGCGCACGGGUGAGUAACGCGUGGGAAUGUGCCCUUGGGUACGGAACAACACCGGGAAACUGGUGCUAAUACCGUAUAAUGUCUUCGGACCAAAGAUUUAUCGCCCAGGGAUCAGCCCGCGUAGGAUUAGCUAGUUGGUGAGGUAAUGGCUCACCAAGGCUACGAUCCUUAGCUGGUCUUAGAGGAUGAUCAGCCACACUGGAACUGAGACACGGUCCAGACUCCUACGGGAGGCAGCAGUAAGGAAUAUUGGACAAUGGGGGAAACCCUGAUCCAGCCAUGCCGCGGGAAUGAAGAAGGCCUUAGGGUUGUAAAGUUCUUUUAGUGGUGACGAUAAUGACGGUAGCCACAGAAAAAGCUCCGGCUAACUCCGUGCCAGCCGCCGCCGUAA